RNAcentral lists this ribosomal RNA (217 nucleotides) under Escherichia coli. Its description in RNAcentral is "partial 16S ribosomal RNA". It matches the Rfam family "Bacterial small subunit ribosomal RNA", at positions 1 to 216 of the family's 1533-position model. Lineage: Bacteria; Pseudomonadati; Pseudomonadota; Gammaproteobacteria; Enterobacterales; Enterobacteriaceae. The record is from RNAcentral. RNAcentral also lists the same sequence under 1 other name.
AAAUUGAAGAGUUUGAUCAUGGCUCAGAUUGAACGCUGGCGGCAGGCCUAACACAUGCAAGUCGAACGGUAACAGGAAUCAGCUUGCUGAUUCGCUGACGAGUGGCGGACGGGUGAGUAAUGUCUGGGAAACUGCCUGAUGGAGGGGGAUAACUACUGGAAACGGUAGCUAAUACCGCAUAAUGUCGCAAGACCAAAGAGGGGGACCUUCGGGCCUC